UACGGAGGAUCCGAGCGUUAUCCGGAUUUAUUGGGUUUAAAGGGUGCGUAGGCGGCCUAUUAAGUCAGGGGUGAAAGACGGUAGCUUAACUAUCGCAGUGCCUUUGAUACUGAUGGGCUUGAAUAUACUUGAGGUAGGCGGAAUGUGACAAGUAGCGGUGAAAUGCAUAGAUAUGUCACAGAACACCAAUUGCGAAGGCAGCUUACUAAGGUAUGAUUGACGCUGAGGCACGAAAGCGUGGGGAUCAAACAGG
This 253-nucleotide ribosomal RNA is filed under the name uncultured bacterium. Its description in RNAcentral is "partial 16S ribosomal RNA". It matches the Rfam family "Bacterial small subunit ribosomal RNA", at positions 524 to 776 of the family's 1533-position model. The record is from RNAcentral.